This 1269-nucleotide long non-coding RNA is filed under the name Oryzias sinensis (Chinese medaka). RNAcentral describes it as "lncRNA (ENSOSIG00000008393.1)". Lineage: Eukaryota; Metazoa; Chordata; Actinopteri; Beloniformes; Adrianichthyidae. The record is from RNAcentral.
GUGAGGGAUACGUCCCUGUUUUUGAGGGAACCUGGAGUUUGCAACAUUCAUUUUCGUAUUGCUCUUGAGAUAUCUGUGGGCUCCUUGCUGUGGUGUGGCAUGCUGACAUUCCCUCCACACCCACACUGGCAGCCAAUGUGCCAAUUAGUGGCCUUCUCCACAGGGGUGUAUGAGAGGUGGAGAACACAGAAGAACCAGAAACAGAGGAGAAAGAGCAAGGUACAAUUAAAGGGAUGUCCCUCCCCUGGCUCCCCUCUUUGGUGGACCACAUCAACGGAAGUCCUGGAGCAGAUGGGAGCUCUAAUGACGGGAGGGAGGCCAGGUCGCGACCCUGGUGUGCCACCUCAGCGCCACACCCUUCCUCUUUCGGUCGAGACAAAGUUUACACCAGGAAAAGAGGAGGGAAAAGGGUACAUGGAGUUGGCCAGUGUUUUAAGUUCCAGAAAAUCUGGAAAGCUAAUUGAGAAGCAGACAUAGAAGUUACUGUCAUGCUAAAAAAAAAAAAAGUCAUAUUUUGUUUCCGUUAGUGUGCUGUUUAACUUCCCAUAAAAGCAAAUGGAUGACUUCAUUGUGAUCUUGGUGGAAAGUCAUUCUCUAAUGUCCUGUCUUAACUUUUUUAAUGCUACAGCAUUGUUAAGUUCAGACUGAAAAAUGAAAGUGCACUAUGGGCCAACAUUAAAGUCUGAGUUUAUGGAGGGAAAUGGACUCCACAGAAGGUUUGGGCAUCUUUGUGUCUCUCAGUACGUACUAAGACAGUACCGUGGUCUUCCUGCAUCAGACAUCCAAAUGCGAUGGAGAGGCUCGGAUAAUGAUAUGUCUGUCUGUCAUCCCUCUAGAUUUGCUUUCCACUUGUGAGUGAGAUACAGCACGAGAUGUGUGGGGGUGGUAAAGUGUGUGUGUGUGAAGUGAACGCUGUAUCUAGCUCAGUAUUAGAAUGGCAUACAAGUGGGGUGGUCAUGCAUGCGUGUGUGACAGGGGUCCCCGCAGAUUAUAGCCGAUGAUGAGCAUCUCCUCUCAGCUUGGAAAUGCGGUAAUUGUCACUUCGCUUGAGUAGGGGAGGUGGGAGCGGAAAGACAUCACUCCGAAAUGCAGCAAGUUAAAAAGAAGAAAAGUAUGAAGAUGUGCAACAAAGUAAAGAGUGGAACAAAAAGGAUUGAAUGGAAGAAAACGGCGGCGCUGAUUAACUUCUUGGUAGAGGUUCUCUGAGCUUUCCCAGUGGAUGUGGGAACAAACAGAAGUGUAGCAAUGCACAAAACAUUCUGCUAAGUU